RNAcentral lists this ribosomal RNA (443 nucleotides) under Leptotrichia sp. oral taxon H22. RNAcentral describes it as "bacterial SSU rRNA". It matches the Rfam family "Bacterial small subunit ribosomal RNA", at positions 28 to 486 of the family's 1533-position model. The record is from RNAcentral. Lineage: Bacteria; Fusobacteriati; Fusobacteriota; Fusobacteriia; Fusobacteriales; Leptotrichiaceae.
GAUGAACGCUGACAGAAUGCUUAACACAUGCAAGUCUUUGCCAAACUUGGCUGGCCCAGACAAGCCAAGCGGACGGGGUAAGUAAGCGUAAGGAACUGCCCCGCCAGACCAGGAUAACAGACGGAAAACGACUGAUAAGACCUGGGUGUUGUCAGGGCUGACGCAUGUCAGGGCUGAUGAAAAGGAGACGCUGCGGGGAGAGCCUUGCGUCCUAUUAGCUUGUUGGUGGGGUAACGGCCCACCAAGGCGAUGAUAGGUAGCCGGCCUGAGAGGGUGAACGGCCACAAGGGGACUGAGAUACGGCCCUUACUCCUACGGGAGGCAGCAGUGGGGAAUAUUGGACAAUGGGGGGAACCCUGAUCCAGCAAUUCUGUGUGCACGAAGAAGGUUUUCGGAUUGUAAAGUGCUUUCAGCAGGGAAGAAGCAAGGACGGUACCGCAGAA